GAUGAACGCUGGCGGCGUGCCUAAUACAUGCAAGUCGAGCGAACGGACGAGAAGCUUGCUUCUCUGAUGUUAGCGGCGGACGGGUGAGUAACACGUGGAUAACCUACCUAUAAGACUGGGAUAACUUCGGGAAACCGGAGCUAAUACCGGAUAAUAUUUUGAACCGCAUGGUUCAAAAGUGAAAGACGGUCUUGCUGUCACUUAUAGAUGGAUCCGCGCUGCAUUAGCUAGUUGGUAAGGUAACGGCUUACCAAGGCAACGAUGCAUAGCCGACCUGAGAGGGUGAUCGGCCACACUGGAACUGAGACGCGGUCCGGACUCCCACGGGAGGCAGCAGUAGGGAAUCUUCCGCAAUGGGCGAAAGCCUGGCGGAGCAACGCCGCGUGAGUGAUGAAGGUCUUCGGAUCGUAAAACUCUGUUAUUAGGGAAGAACAUAUGUGUAAGUAACUGUGCACAUCUUGACGGUACCUAAUCAGAAAGCCACGGCUAACUACGUGCCAGCAGCCGCGGUAAUACGUAGGUGGCAAGCGUUAUCCGGAAUUAUUGGGCGUAAAGCGCGCGUAGGCGGUUUUUUAGGUCUGAUGUGAAAGCCCACGGCUCAACCGUGGAGGGUCAUUGGAAACUGGAAAACUUGAGUGCAGAAGAGGAAAGUGGAAUUCCAUGUGUAGCGGUGAAAUGCGCAGAGAUAUGGAGGAACACCAGUGGCGAAGGCGACUUUCUGGUCUGUAACUGACGCUGAUGUGCGAAAGCGUGGGGAUCAAACAGGAUUAGAUACCCUGGUAGUCCACGCCGUAAACGAUGAGUGCUAAGUGUUAGGGGGUUUCCGCCCCUUAGUGCUGCAGCUAACGCAUUAAGCACUCCGCCUGGGGAGUACGACCGCAAGGUUGAAACUCAAAGGAAUUGACGGGGACCCGCACAAGCGGUGGAGCAUGUGGUUUAAUUCGAAGCAACGCGAAGAACCUUACCAAAUCUUGACAUCCUUUGACAACUCUAGAGAUAGAGCCUUCCCCUUCGGGGGACAAAGUGACAGGUGGUGCAUGGUUGUCGUCAGCUCGUGUCGUGAGAUGUUGGGUUAAGUCCCGCAACGAGCGCAACCCUUAAGCUUAGUUGCCAUCAUUAAGUUGGGCACUCUAAGUUGACUGCCGGUGACAAACCGGAGGAAGGUGGGGAUGACGUCAAAUCAUCAUGCCCCUUAUGAUUUGGGCUACACACGUGCUACAAUGGACAAUACAAAGGGCAGCGAAACCGCGAGGUCAAGCAAAUCCCAUAAAGUUGUUCUCAGUUCGGAUUGUAGUCUGCAACUCGACUACAUGAAGCUGGAAUCGCUAGUAAUCGUAGAUCAGCAUGCUACGGUGAAUACGUUCCCGGGUCU
RNAcentral lists this ribosomal RNA (1372 nucleotides) under uncultured bacterium. Its description in RNAcentral is "bacterial SSU rRNA". It matches the Rfam family "Bacterial small subunit ribosomal RNA", at positions 28 to 1381 of the family's 1533-position model. The record is from RNAcentral.